RNAcentral lists this small RNA (216 nucleotides) under Oryza sativa Japonica Group (Japanese rice). Its description in RNAcentral is "sRNA Os02g0535150". The record is from RNAcentral. Lineage: Eukaryota; Viridiplantae; Streptophyta; Magnoliopsida; Poales; Poaceae.
AGUAUAUGUUAUCAGUUUAUAAUACUAUUAUCUGGCAUGUGGACUAUGUGCGCCCACUUUGAUAUUAAAUUUAUUUUUUUUGGGAGGAUUCACUGUAGUGGCUUGCAACUAGGAGGACCCUCGUGUGUUGUUUGGGCAUUGCAUUGCUGCCAAUCUUAGAGCAACCCAACCAAAAUGAAGUAAAUUUUGUUAAACUGAGUAAGAUUAGUAUAGUUU